UACGGGGGGAGCAAGCGUUGUUCGGAUUUACUGGGCGUAAAGGGCGCGUAGGCGGUCAGCACAAGUCAGUUGUGAAAUCUCCGAGCUUAACUCGGAAAGGUCAACUGAUACUGUGCGACUAGAGUGCAGAAGGGGCAACUGGAAUUCUCGGUGUAGCGGUGAAAUGCGUAGAUAUCUGGAAGAACACCAGUGGCGAAGGCGGUCGACUGGCCCAUAACUGACGCUGAGGCACGAAAGCGUGGGGAGCGAACAGG
RNAcentral lists this ribosomal RNA (254 nucleotides) under uncultured bacterium. RNAcentral describes it as "partial 16S ribosomal RNA". It matches the Rfam family "Bacterial small subunit ribosomal RNA", at positions 524 to 776 of the family's 1533-position model. The record is from RNAcentral.